Paramuricea clavata is the source of this 256-nucleotide non-coding RNA. Lineage: Eukaryota; Metazoa; Cnidaria; Anthozoa; Malacalcyonacea; Plexauridae. The record is from the annotation of a GenBank genome assembly.
CAUAGUAAAGCGAGGGACACUAGUGCCACUUAGCGGUACAACGUGUCCUCGUAUUUUUAUGCAAAAAUAUGCAGUUUGCUGGCUUGGACCAGCCAGUUCAGCGUGCUUAUUGGACAGAACAUGCAGUUUACUCGCUGAGCAGCAUGCGUAAUGCGAUAUGCGCAAGGACAGAAACUUCAAAGGAUCGACGUAAGUGGCACUACUGUCCCUCCCUAUACAGCGAUAUAACUAGCCUAAUCAAUUAGUUGGCUCUGCU